Molecule: long non-coding RNA, 335 nt
Organism: Syngnathus acus (greater pipefish)
Lineage: Eukaryota; Metazoa; Chordata; Actinopteri; Syngnathiformes; Syngnathidae
Exons: 3
Source: RefSeq, a predicted model, not a curated record
UAGCUCAUCACCUACAACACACACAAUCAAGAUCGUCUCUGAAGAACUUCUUGUACAGGUCACAUGAUCCAGAACUUCUGCAAUGCCAUGUGGAUUAGUGGUUCUUCGGUGAGACCGAGCAGGAGACGCAUCACCGCAGGGAGAAAACAAAGAUAAAGCUGAGACAGAGCCCUAAGUGACAGACAUAUCUACCUCUUGUGUCAACGCCCCUCCAGCUAUCUUCUGAAGGUUGGAUUUCACAUGCAAAAUCAUUUUACCCAAAAUUGGGGCGCUUUCAUCCAAUUCCCACAAGCGAGGAGACGCACAACACUGGGAGGGAGAAAGGCACAAAGGCA